AGCGAACGCUGGCGGCAGGCUUAACACAUGCAAGUCGAGCGGGCAUCUUCGGAUGUCAGCGGCAGACGGGUGAGUAACACGUGGGAACGUACCCUUCGGUUCGGAACAACUCUGGGAAACUGGAGCUAAUACCGGAUACGCCCUUAUGGGGAAAGGUUUACUGCCGAAGGAUCGGCCCGCGUCUGAUUAGCUAGUUGGUGGGGUAACGGCCUACCAAGGCGACGAUCAGUAGCUGGUCUGAGAGGAUGAUCAGCCACACUGGGACUGAGACACGGCCCAGACUCCUACGGGAGGCAGCAGUGGGGAAUAUUGGACAAUGGGCGCAAGCCUGAUCCAGCCAUGCCGCGUGAGUGAUGAAGGCCUUAGGGUUGUAAAGCUCUUUUGUCCGGGACAAUAAUGACGGUACCGGAAGAAUAAGCCCCGGCUAACUUCGUG
This 435-nucleotide ribosomal RNA is filed under the name uncultured bacterium. RNAcentral describes it as "partial 16S ribosomal RNA". It matches the Rfam family "Bacterial small subunit ribosomal RNA", at positions 29 to 507 of the family's 1533-position model. The record is from RNAcentral.